GGUGCUUCUGAAGGCAAUUUAAUUGGUUACUGUUCUAUCAGCAAAUAUAUUUUAGGGUGACUUUUCUUUUUAAUGUUAGUUUUUGAAAAGUCUUUCAAUUUCUCCCUUUGACAGUGGCAAGAUCAUGGGAAGAUGCUGUAAAACUGAUUGCUAAGGAACCACAAACUACAGUUGUAAAAAACAGCCUUCAAAGACCAAUUAAGAGAAAACAAAGGACUAAUACUCUCCAGAAACCUGCAACCAAUGUUCAAAAUCAAUUUCACACAGGCC
This 270-nucleotide long non-coding RNA is filed under the name Dasypus novemcinctus (nine-banded armadillo). RNAcentral's name for it is "lncRNA (ENSDNOG00000052162.1)". Lineage: Eukaryota; Metazoa; Chordata; Mammalia; Cingulata; Dasypodidae. The record is from RNAcentral.